RNAcentral lists this long non-coding RNA (6737 nucleotides) under Homo sapiens (human). RNAcentral describes it as "HSALNT0382529". The record is from RNAcentral. Lineage: Eukaryota; Metazoa; Chordata; Mammalia; Primates; Hominidae.
UGGUGCUAAGAGUUUGAACUUGCAGGAUCUAGUAUGGUUCCCAGCACAAGUCACACUCCAGCGCCCCCACGAGCCAGCACAGUGCCUGCUCUCAGUGAAAGGCCACUGUUCUCCUUGGGUGACCCCCAUGAUGCCUGACCGCUCCUCGUGCCUCCUGGAACAGCCAGGGUCCUUAUGAAGUGGUGACCACUCCAGUCAGCAGGGGUGGAAAAUGGUACCAGUCAAACCCGAGGCGGAGGAGGAGCAGCCCGCAGUCGCUGCCGCGAGAUGGAGGAGCCCACGCCCGAGCCCGUCUAUGUCGACGUAGACAAAGGGCUGACCUUGGCCUGCUUCGUCUUCCUCUGCCUCUUCCUUGUCGUGAUGAUCAUCCGCUGUGCCAAGGUCAUCAUGGACCCUUACAGCGCCAUCCCCACAUCCACCUGGGAGGAGCAGCACCUGGACGACUGAGGCACAGCGGCUGUGGGGACUGGACCUGGCGCUCUGUGGGUGGCUGUGCCCCAGGAUGCAUCCGUGUGUUCCCUGCCAGCCUGCCAUCCCACAGAGGCAAGGAAUGAAUCUGGCCACCCAGGGAAACAGAAGGUGCAGCUUAGCCCUCUCAGCCCUCCCUCGAGCACCAGCGUGGAAUGCCCGGGUGCCGUGGGUGUCGCAACCAUGGACCAGCCAGGGGAAAAGAGCCCUGGACCAGGACCCAGGAGGCUGGGGUUCCAGUGUGGGGAGUCCCUGUGAGAUGAUAGGGUAGUCACCUUCCCAGGUUCCUGGGCACCUUUUGGAACUGGAUCCAGCAACAGACACCCCCCAUCCAUCACAUAACAGUGGUCUUGUCUUGAGGAGACUCUCGGUCCUUUAAAUGCAAAGUAGCAAUGGAGGCUCCCAACCAAGAGGUCCCACCUGAACCCCAGCCCCCUCCCCAUGGACUAGCAGUGGUGUGGCAGUGAGGGGGGAAAGCGGGUUGAGGGAGUCUCACCUGAAAAUUCACAAAACGCACAGGAUAUGGGCUGCUUCCAAGCAGUAUUUUUUUAAACUAAAAUAUAGAGGGAUAUAUUUUUCCUGUUAUAAAUAAAAUGUACAUUUUAGAAACUUGGGAAAAUGCAGAUAAAUAGAAAGAAAGGGGGAGGAAAUAACACUUAUAAUCCCACCUCCCGGAAACCACCAUUUUGAUAUAUUUUCUUCCAGCCUUUUUACUUGUAUUUUUUAGUCAAAUUCAUACUCUGUGCAUGAUGUUGUAUCGCCUCAUAUGAUAGCAGGAAUACUUCCCCAUUACAUCAAACACUCUUCUUAGCUGCCAGUUUUAGUGACCGAAGGGCAUCCCAUCGGUUGGGUAGGUCAUGGUUAAAAAAUCAUCUCCUUUGGUUGCAUAUUUAAUUAUUUUCCACUAUUUUUUCCUCACACAAAAUGAUUUCGCCCGGUACCCUUUUUGGGGGUGCACAGUCCAUGAGAUGAAUAUUGAAUGGGGAGACCUGGGUUCUAGUCUCGCAUUUACCAGUCAGGUUACAAUGCGACCUUGAGCAAGUCACUUCACCUCCCAGCGCCUCAGUUUCCUCAUUGUAAGAUAGGAAAAGCCUUGUCAUUUUUAAAAUUUUAUUUUUUGCAUAUACCUCAUGUGAACGAAAGGACAGAAAGGGGAGUGAAUAUACUAUGAAUGUGCUAUAGUCGGAGUUGGGGGGCAAGGAAGAAGUCAUCGAUGAUGGCUCUUCUCAGGCCCUCCCUCCUCCCACCUCUUUCUGCCCUCCACCCCACUCCCACUCCAUCACCUACAUCUAUGACCUUGCAGCAAAAUCAUUAGAGCAGAGCCUACAAAACCGGCCCCAAGUCCCAAUUCCUCUACUUCCUUGUUAGAGGACCCCAAAUAACUCACUCAGCCUCUCUGAGCCCCAAUUUCCUCACCUGUAAAGUGAGGGAAUAACAUCUACCUCGCAAGGUUGUUGUGAGGACGAAAUGAGAGAACAUGGGCAAACAUGAAUGUUCUUGAAUUCACCACCCCAGGAGAAGCCAGGGGUCUGAGCUGGGAGGAGCAGAGGUUCUGGGUGCCCCCUGCCCCUACAGAGCCUGGCACCUUCAGCUUUUCUCAACUUCUGAGGGCUGCUUCCUACAGGCCAAAUCUCCCAGCCGGAACCACUUGGUCAGAGGAACACUCACAGCAGCCUUUCCCAGCACCUGACCUCAAGGGAUAUGGCGUCUACCAAUUUACAUAAUUGCCUUUGUCAUCAGUUUUCCCAUAACAUGGUACGAAGUUAAAUGAGAGCACCUGAGCUCCCCUUCCUCUGAGUGCAUUUAUUCCAUCCCUCCAAGCUGUGGCCUUCCAUCCCCAUCCAAGAGACCUGCAGCUGUGAAGAAGCUCAAGACUUCUUUCUCAUUGCCUGCCUCCCAGCCAUUAGUCCCCACCACAGCCCAGGCCACCUGGAAAAUGGGUUCCAAAGCACUAUCACUACUAGGUGACCCCUGAAUGUGGACAAGGCCACAGCUCUUCAGGCAGCAUUUCAGGGGCUAUCCAGUUGUCAUCCCUCUCAUACCCCUCUCCUACCCACCCCUAUCCCCACUAUUGUGGAAUGCACGAAGGGACAGCUGGCAAAGGCAGUGAACCAAGAUGCAGGGAAGGCCCUGUAUGAUGGGGAGGAUCUAAAGCAAAAGCCUUUUGUGCAUUGCCUCAGGUUCAGCAGCAGCAGCCCUCACUCUGAAGCCUACCUUGAGAAGCCAGGCAUUUCUGUGAAAAGCUCAUCAGCAUGCAUUUACAAUGCAAACUAGAACCAACUCCCAGUCAGCUAAUAACAGACCCCAGGAAAAAGAAAAGGUCUUCCAGACCUCCCCGACACACUUUAGAACCCUCAGGGGUGAAAAAGAGGGUGCUCCAGGGCAGUGCAACUUAAACUGUGGUUGAAGGACAAACAGCCUCUGCAAUACUUGAGGAGCUUGUUAGAAACCCAAACUCACAGCCCCCUCCAGACCUACGUACAGAAUGUAUAUUAGCAAGAUUCGCUAGGUGGUUUAUGUGCACGUUAAAGUUUAAGAAGCACUGCCUGAGAAUCCCUUGGUCCUAAUUAAUUCUUUUCCACACUCAGAUUUGCUAAUGGGUUUCACCUUAUCUCUUGACUCUUGUUUGAUGGCAACAGGAAAUAGUAGCAUUUCAGGAAGGGUGGAAAAUAUAAAAAGCACUCCCAACCCAAGCCUCCAAAAAACAGCAAUUUUCAUUUUGUGUCCAUAUAUUCCCUUCUAAUCAUUGUCCUCAUGCAAGAUUUUUUUUCAUAAAGAUGAUCUGCUACAUAAUUUUAUAUCAUACUCUUUCUCCUAACAUUACAUCACAAGUAUACUUUCAUGUUGCUGCUACAUUCUUCACACUUGUCAUUUUAAUGGCCAUAAAACAUGACAUCUAGUGCACAUAUAUAAUUAUGUAGACUCCUAUUAUUAAAUAUUUGGAUUUCUUCCAUUUUCCCUGUUGUACAUGUUCCAAGCAAAAAAAGAAAGAUCAAGAUAGAUAUGAUGAAGCCGGGGAGCUUGCUUAAGACAGGGGAGAAUAAAUACUUACAGUACACUCUCUCCAUUUAAGAGACACAUGGAGCACAUGGGGGAGGGAGACCUGUCUAAGAACUGGAUCAUAUUAAGGAGAAAAAAGCAACUGGAAUCUCAGGCUUCAGUUGUUGCAUUAUGCUGCUGAAGCAUAGAGGAGAUGGUCCUUUGUGAUCAGAGCGUCUCAACUCGUUUCUGGCAAGCUAAGAUGAACUUUGGGGUUGUGGAUAGAAAGAUAAACUGAUCUGCAAAAGAAAUGCACAGAAGUAUUGAAGGCUAGAAGUUGGCAGACAAGAAAUGAAAAGCAUUUAGAGAAUGGGAGGCCUGUGAAGGUAGCCACAACCCAGGACUUAAGGAGAACACAGGCUGGAGAGGAACUCUCCAAAGCAGAGAAUGGGUGGUGGGUUUUCCAGGCAAUGGUGCCUAGUGGCCAGUUUUAAGUUGUUGCUUGUACUGUGCUCAGCUACACUCCCUUCAUGUUGCCCCAAGCCCUCUCUAAAGUCUGAUAAAUGAUCCACCACUCUGCAGCAGUGGUCUUUGGGACAAUGAAGACACCUCGGUGGUGGGUCACUUAGGGAAAUACAAUCUGGAAGGGGCCAACAGUCCCAGAGACAAGUGGGGUAGCAGAAAUAUGCAGAACCAAGAGUUCAGAGUGAUGGUCACUAGAAGAAAUGUGGCCUCUAAGGAUGCUCAGACAGGUGGAUAUGUAUAGUAGGACCCUAGCUUUACCAUCCUGGCAUAUCAUUCCCAUCAUAGCUAUUUCAUUUUUUUCCAAUUAGUUGCUGAAAUGUCUACAUGUUCUUAUCGAGUUGAAAGAUCAGUGUCUCCCUGUCUCAUUAAAUUUCCAGAACUUCAGAGGCUAAAUCAAUCCAAAAGGGGCUGGCCCUGCUUUCAAACACCAAGUGAAGAGAACUACAAAGUUUGGUGUGUCCACUAGUGUGGUUUCAUACCCCCUAGGUCUUGCUGUUGAGGACUGGUUCUGCCAGGCAUGAUCAAUGACCACCCACAAUGUCCUGUGGCCCAGCCUGUGGAGAGGUGCCCAAACAGAGUUAUCUGGGUCCACAUCCAUGUGCCCAGCUAUUCUGUCCAAUCAUAGCACAAAGACAGGUUGCCUGUGUCCAGAGGGACACACAGCCUCAGGCACACCAGCCCUUACUUAUGAGCUUGAUGGUCAUCAGCAAAGACUCUCUCCCUUUAGGAGGGUUCUCCUUGGGACUUUUCAGUGUCUUGGCAGGAAAGAGAUGGCACACACGAAGCACUGAUUGAAGACAGUUUAAUGAAAGAAUAUUUACAGAGGUUGGGCAAGGGUAUGGAAAACAACAGGGAACAGUAAAACACCCAGGGAUGACAAGGCAAGGUAGCUCAUGUCUGUAAUCUCAGCACUUUGGGAGGCCAACACAGGCAGAUUGCUUGAGCCCAGGAGUUUGAAACCAGCCUGGCAACAUAAGCAAGAAUCUGUUUAUCUACAAAAAAUAAAAUAAUUAAAAAAAAAUUACCUGGCUGUGGUGUUGCACACCUAUAGUCCCAGCUACUCAGGAGUCUGAGGUGGGAGGAUCACUUGAGUCCAGGAGUUUGAGGUUACAAUGAGCUAGGAUCACACUACUGCACUCCAGCCUAGGCGACAAAGAGAGAUGCUGUCUCUAAAAAUAAAAAACAAAAACAAACUACCCAGGAACAGGCAGGCCACCAACUGUUACCAUCUCUUGCCUAGAGAGACAAGGAGAAGGAUCUAGAACCCAGGGAGAGCUAUAGCCAUGGAGAAGGAGUCACCCAAUGGAAGCCCUGGCCACAGCUAGAGGAUCAAAACUCCUGCACCCACUGCAGCUCAGUAGGAAGAGAGCUGGGGGAAUAAAUACCUUGACCUCUUGCCUCCUGCCCUCCAAUCUCCUGUCUGGGUCUUCCAUUGGCCAAAAACAACAGAAGCUAAAGGUCAGGGGACCCUGGGUGAUACGGUCCACAUAGGCAGCACACUGGAGCAAAAGAAGAAAAACCAGCACAAUUCAUCUUAUUACCACUUAGCAGCCAUUCACAAACUUUGCUUAGAUGGGAGAAAAAUAUUUUGUCCCCGGCACAGGGGAAACAUAAAAUCUCACCAGCAGCCAUAUUGUCUGGGGGUGAUAGCAAUUUAGUCCCACUCCCUCCUGCAACUUAAAUCAUAAUGUAGCCAGUCCCGGGUAAGUGGAACACUUCCUGUAAAGCACAACUGCUAGUGCCCCCUUCUGUGGCUGGUCAUGAGGCCCAGAGUGGUAACUGCAGUCUUGUUCUCCCACCACCCAUUCCAUAGCCCCUCUACUUUCUGGCAGUCCCUUAGCUGUUGGAGAAUUUUAUCUGGUGGAAUGACCCAAAUCUUCAUCCACAGAGGAUUCAAAUUCUUAGUGCCGUGUCUUCAAUGAGUUGCCACAGUAUCCACAGAUUCCUAAAGAACAUGAAGAGGCCUUGAAGAUCUCACCUGGAAGCUCUGUAAAAUUAUCAGAAAGAAUAGCAGGUGCUCUAGGGCAACACUACUCAAACUAUGGUCCACGGAUGGACAGCAUUGGCAUCUCUGGGGAGCUUGUUAGAAAUCUAAUUUCAUGCCCCCACCUCAGGCUUACAGAAUGAGGACAAGGGAUACAGGGAGUACCAAGUGCCCUAGCGAAUCCCAGGGUUCCAAAGCUAGUACUCCUUGCCCCUAUUGUGUAGCAGAAACCCCACUUUCCCUUGGAUAUUGGGGUUAACCAUCCUGACAGUGCAGUGAUCUCUUUCUCUGCCAAUAUUUCAACAUAAGGAGCCCCAGAUGGCACAAGAUCAUCUUCCAAUUUAACAGACCCAUAACUAUAUUCCCUGGUGGAAGCAGUUCCUCUUGGUCACUAGAGAUUUCCAAACCCACAAAACCUAAGGUUUCUUGGUUAAAGGCCAUGUUUGUGGGAUAUGCUGAGAUGAAUAUGCUGUGGUUUGAAUGUGUCCCCCAAAGUUCAUAUGUUGGAAACUUGAUUCCCAUUGCAACAGUGUUGAGAUCUGGGGCCCAAUGAGAGGUGAUUAGGCCAUGAGGGCGGAGUGAAUGGAUUAAUGCAGUUAUCUCAAGAGUGGGUUUGUUAUGAAGGGGGUGUUUGGUCCUCUUUUCUCUCUUGCCCAUGUGAUUCCUUCCACCAUGUUUAUGAUGCAACAAGAAGGUCCUCACCAGAUGCUGGUUCCUUGAUCUUGUAUUUUGCAGCCUCCAAAAUCGUGAGCCAAAUAAAUUUCUAUUCAUUAUAAAUUAC